Sitophilus oryzae (rice weevil) is the source of this 3505-nucleotide long non-coding RNA. RefSeq lists it as uncharacterized. NCBI's taxonomy places the organism in Eukaryota, Metazoa, Arthropoda, Insecta, Coleoptera, Curculionidae. The record is from RefSeq and is a predicted model, not a curated record. The transcript has 7 exons.
AUUAAAGUAUUAGUAAUUUAUUUUUGUUACUAAAAUUAAAUUCAGUUUGUUCCUGCAUAAAUCUUUUUAGUACUAAACUGCUUUGGAAUGAAUUUUUUGGGGGACAACAGCAGGAUUAGGGCCAUCUUCUAGAUGCCAUCAGGUAGGUGCGCUAGCGUAGUUUGUUGUAGCAUUAUAUCCCUUUUCCCCCUUUUUAAAAAAUGUUUGUAAGACGCCUGACGUUUGUAUAAGUUAGAUAUAUAAGUAAGAGACUUGGAAAAUAGAAAAGGACAGAGAAGAUGGAAGAGGAUUGCUUUGAAAUAGAAGGAAAGGAGAUAGAAGAUGUUUGAGGAAAGGUGGAGGAUUUUGUUCGCUGUAACGGAAGUUUUUUGAAUGAAAUUUGGAGCAACUGUAUUAAGAUGUUAUUGGUAUCUUGGACAUCAAGUUUCAUUUAUUUAUGUAUUAUACAAGCAUAUCUAUUGGUGGAAAUGUAGAAUGGCAGCUGUUAUAACAACUUGGAUGAAUUAUUAGAAACAUCAAAGAAGUUUUGACAUAAUUUAAAUUGGGAAAAACGUCACAAAUGACCAAUUUAUUCUACAGUAGAUACAGGACAUUAAAUUGACUUCAACAACGCAGAUAUCUCUCAAAAAUGAUAUCUGUUCGAGUGAUGUACUGAGCGUUAAUAGUUGCUGUUACAAAUCUGCAAAUGAGUUACUACUGUAUAUAAGUUGGAGGAAUGCCAAGGAAUUUUUUGAAUAAAGUGAUACUGAAAAUCUUACCCACAAAUGACAAUUUUAAGAUACAAUCAAUAGUAUUUGGAUUGAUUGGCCUUCAUUACCGUUGCGCUAUGAAAAUGUGGGCUGUACAAAUUGAUGUUAGUGGACGGUUUUGAUAGCUGCUGUUCAAAAGUUCCAUUUUUAAUGGAAAACCUUUAAUGGACACAGAAAAAUGCCAUUUACUGGAUUGACUUCGACACCUGUUGCCUUUUAACAAUGGCAUACGAUAGGACAAUUGCUAUUAGAAACCGAUAAGACAUACUAGCUGCAAAUAAUAUGUAUGGUGGUCAUAAAAGAGAUUUAAAUGGAAUGAAACUCUCUCUCUCUCUUGUGCAGAAGAAAUCAAGGAAUACCAUUUUGAACUGCUGUUACUUGCUAGCUGUUAGAGGGGAUCCAGUUCUUCAUCAAUAUAUCUCUGCAUUUUCUUAACAAUGGAUAUCAACAGUUUCUCCUACUCCUCAGUUUCCUCUUUCUCUCAACAUAAAGCAGACUCAAUACUCCUCAAUGCCUCACCAAGGUUCGUUAGCUUCAUUAAUAGUAUUAUUGUUUCAAUAAAUUUGUUUAUUGGUUUUUAUCUUCUUACUAUAUAAUUAUAUCAGGCGUCAUUUUAAUGUUAAUUUUUUGUAAAAUUUUGAUAAUCUGGAUAGAAACUUUUUUUUCUUAAGCUUUUGCAAUAUAAAACCUAUAGGACGAAUAGGACCAUUAUCUCUGUUGAUAUUGUCUUUAUAUUUAUGCUUUGUGUUGCCUCUAGUUUGAGGAACGUUUGAUUAAUUUUAAAUCAUUCAAAUCAAUGCAAUAAUCUUUAUGGAGGAUAUGUUGAGCAACAUGAUACUAAUCUGUUAUAAUUUUUCAUCUCAAGCUUUUUUUCAAUCUCACCUAUCUUAUAUUUACUUCCAUUAGUUCAACCUGGUUCAAGCAUUAAAUUGUUAUUUAAUAAAACUAUAUUGUAUUCUGGAUUUCGUCAAAGGUAUUUAUUAAAAGAUUUCAUCAAAGGUAUUUUUUAAAAGAAUUAAAAAACAAUCUUUAUAGGCUUGUAUCAUUUCCAAUUUAUUUUUAUCUUGUAUUAUUUAUAUUUUCCUAAGCUUCUCUAAGUUUAUUCCAUAUUAUCAAAAUUAUAAAUUUUAUACUUGCGCAGCUGCGUCACUAUAGCCCUAUGAACACAAGUAUUAUUUUGGUUUUAAAGUUAUGUUUUUUAAUAUUUUAUUUAUUGUAUUAACGCAAAACUAAAUUUUAUAGAAUUUAACUAACUAUAUCUUCAAUCGGAUGAUAAUUUAAUAGUUAAUGGUCAAUUUAAUAGUUUUUUAUAAAAAUUAAAUGUGAUUAUUGAAUACCAAUGUCAAGCCAGUAGAAAUUAUUUAUUAGUGUGUAUUUUUUUUUGAAACAAUUUUUACUAAAUCAAUUUUGGAUACUUGUGUUCAUAUAGUUUUUUUUUGCUUUUGAGAAUUAUUUUUGGUACCCUAACACAGAUGUUUUUAAUCAAUUUAUAUGAUUUUAAAACAUUUAUGUUUAUAUCUAUUUUGUACUUAAAUUUUAGUGAUAAAGUUUGUUUCUUUAACACAGAGAGCAAUGCACUUCACGCAUUUUCUUUUUUAUGUGCACAAUUUUCUUUAUAUACAGUAUGUCCUCAGAACGUCUUUACAAGAGCAAAAGCUUUUUUUAUUAACAUUUUCAUAAAAAAUACAUUCUUUAUAAACAUAUUUUUCUUUUUAAUAUUUUCAUUUCAAUUUUUUUAACAAAUAUAUUGUGAGCACACAUUUUAAAAUUAUUUUUCAUAGAUAUACUGUGCGAUUCAAGUAUAUUUAUACUAAAUUUGUUUUUUUUAAUGAAUUUUAACCUUUAGUAUUACUGGUUGUCUAAUCGAUUCUUAUGUAAUCUUAUGUAUGUGGUAAUGUUCUUAUUAUUUAAAAAAAAUCUUAUUUCCAGUAGUAAUUUUUUAUCUCAAUUUUAGUAUUUAAAAUGUCUCUAUCUUGUCAUAUUUAUUUAACAUAUCUAUUAGACCUCUACUCAAACUUUAUCUCCUAAAAUUUAUGAAUUUUAUAUAUGAAAAUGGUCUGCUAGGGUAUAUAAUAUAUUUAUUGUAGGAUCAGUUGAAAUAUCAUAAGUCAUAAUAUAAAAAUUAACAUUUGUAUAUACAUAUUUGUUAAAUAUAUAAUUUUAAGAUAAAACACAUUUUUACACAAAAAUAAUAAUUCUAGUUUUAUAUUAUGUGGCAUAUCUUUUUUCAAUUGGUCCUUCAACAUUUAAAAUCUUUUGACAUAGAUUUCAUUCCACUUAAAUGUCACAAAAAUAUAUAUUUUAAUACCAAUUUUGUAUGUUAUUUGGUGUAUUAGAAUUUUAUAAAUAUUGUUUUUAAUAUUUUGUUAAUAAUAGUUGUCUCUGAAAAUAGUGAUCUAUAGCUUACCUUUGCUAUCUGUAAUAGGAAAUAUUUCUAAAUAUUUUUUGUUGAAAAUAAAUAUUACUUUAUAACAUUUAUUAAGCAAAAUAAAUUUGAAAUCCCUAUUAUUAUCAAAGAGAUAUCAUUAGAGUGUUUCAAUACAAUAUCUUUUUUUUUCAAACGUUACAAAACUAUUAAUUUUUGUGACAUGAUGACAACAAAGAUUGACAUAUUUAUAAAAAAGUAUUUUUUACCCUUAAACACAAAAGUGCAAAAAUUAUUAUUGAACUGUCAUUAAGUGUCUUACAACAUAUUACUUUUAAAUAUUUUAUAUUUUUUGCAACGUUUGAAAUUGUUUAACACAUUAUAUUUGACG